AAGUCGUAACAAGGUCUCCGUAGGUGAACCUGCGGAAGGAUCAUUACCUUUCUGGCUAUUUAAUAGCUUGUCUGGGGGCUGUAGUUUCUGCAGUCCCUGACUACAUCCGUGUUUUUUGCGUACUACAUGUUUCCUCGGCGGGCUUGCUCGCCGGAUGGACAAUACUAUAACCUUUUUAAUAUUCAAUCAGCGUCUGAAAAACUUGAAUAAUUACAA
This 216-nucleotide unclassified non-coding RNA is filed under the name plant metagenome. RNAcentral describes it as "partial contains small subunit ribosomal RNA and internal transcribed spacer 1". The stretch from base 1 to 46 matches the Rfam family "Eukaryotic small subunit ribosomal RNA", at positions 1786 to 1831 of the family's 1831-position model. The record is from RNAcentral.